Molecule: RNA transcript, 4423 nt
Organism: Pseudoliparis swirei
Lineage: Eukaryota; Metazoa; Chordata; Actinopteri; Perciformes; Liparidae
Gene name: oligophrenin-1-like
Exons: 24
Source: RefSeq, a predicted model, not a curated record
AUGCCAUAUUCCGGCAGGUUUUCUCUGUGUACUUGUAAGGGUUAUAGGUACUGGAACCCAAAAGCACGACAAACACCGGAAUGCAGGAGGAGGCAGUUUACUGUGUGUUUCAGGCAGGGUCAAAACCAGGUAGUCAGUCCAACAGGGCAACAAAUCCAAAAAGGGGCAGGCAAAAUCUUGAGUCGGGUAAACAGGCAAACAGGGUCGUAACAGGCAGGUCAGGAAGAAACUCUAAUAACGCUGGAAGGUUGGCGGUGACACACAAGACAAUCUGGCAGAGGACAAGUGGAAGUGAGGGAGCUAAAUAGUGAGAAGGGCGUGAGGACCAGGUGAAGGGAAUGAGGGACUAACGAGGUGAGGAUGACAGGAUCUGGAAUGACAGGAGAGUGAAUGAAACAUGUACGCAGGAUGAAUUUAACUAGGAAGGUGGGGAAUUCGUGACAGUACUAAUACCAUAAAUACACAUUUAACAUCAACAUUAGCAAAAAGACAUCCCCUGCUAGACCUCAGAGGAGAGGAACAUGUUUGUAAGUCACUUGGUGAUUCCUCACAACUUGACUGAGGAAUCCCCAAACAAAUAGUUUUUAACAUAUCUCUGACUUUAGCAUCAGAGCUUAAUGACAAUUGUGUGUUAAAAAAUGCUUGUUACAUUAUAAUGGUAAAGUUCAUUCUAAUGCACAUUUAGAACACUGGAGCAAGUGUGUUUCCUUUUUAAUCUUUCUCUGUCAGACACUUAAGAUAAGCAUGAGCAAUGUCUUUAUUCCGGUCAUCAUGUUUGUGUUUUCCUCCCCAGCUCAGUCGUUUCAGGAGUUCGCCGGACUCCUGCAGGAAGUAGAGCACGACAGGAUGAUGCUGGUUCAGAACGCCUCCGAUCUGCUCAUCAAGCCGUUGGAGAAGUUCAGAAAGGAGCAAAUAGGACUUACAAAAGAAAAGAAAAAGAAGUUUGAGAAGGAGAGUGAGAAAUAUCACUCCCAGGUCGACAAAAACCUGAAUCUUUCUGUGAAAAAGAAGGACAGUCAACUUCAAGAGGCUGAUGACCUCCUUGAGAAAGAGCACGUGAACUUCUAUGAAUCGUCAGUGGACUAUGUGUACCAGAUCCAUCAGGUGCAGGACAGGAAGAAGUUUGAUGUGGUUGAGCCGGUGCUGGCGUUUCUGCAUAGCAUUCUAACGCUCAACAACCUGACAGUGGAGAUGACUCAGGACUUCAUGCCUUACAAGCAAGAACUGCAGCUCAGCUUGCAGAACACCAGAAACCACUACGAGAGCACUCGCGAGGAGAUGGAGGAGCUGAUGAAGAGAAUGAAACACCCAUCCCAGAUCUAUAGAAUGCACAGCUUCCUGCCCAUGGAGGGCUAUCUGUACUGCCAGGAGAAGUGGGCUUUGGGUGUGUCAUGGGUCAAAUAUUAUUGCAGCUACAAGGAGGGGAGACAGCUGGUCAUGGUGCUUUGUGAACAGAAGCCAACAACGAAACAGGGCACUACACAGCUGACACUGAUAUCCUGCAUCCGCCGGAAGACAGAGUCCAUCGACAAGCGCUUUUGUUUUGACGUGGAAACCACCGAGAGAAACACACCCGUCACUUUCCAAGCUCUUUCGGAGGGGGACAGGAAGUUGUGGAUGGAGGCCAUGGAUGGAAAAGAGCCUAUCUAUCAUUCCCCAAUUCACAAGCAAGCUGAAAUGGAACUGAAUGAAAUUGGAUUCAAGUUUGUGCGAAAGUGCAUCAACUACAUUGAAACAAAAGGAGUCACACAAGAAGGAGUGUACAGAACAGUUGGCAGCAACAUCCAGGUGCAGAAGCUAUUAAAUGCCUUCUUUGAUCCCACAAAUCCAGGAGACGUGGAUCUCCAGAGCAGCGACUGGGACAUUAAAACCAUCACAAGUGCACUGAAGUUUUAUCUCAGGAGCUUGUCUGAACCGCUGAUGACCUACAGUCUCCACAGAGACUUCAUGUGUGCUGCAAAGUCCGAUAAUCUCGACUUUCGACUGAGUGAGAUUCAUUCUCUUUCCCACAAACUGCCAGAGAGGAAUCGAGAGAUGUUGGAGAUGCUUAUUAAACACUUGGUCAACGUGUGCAGUCACAGUGAAGAGAAUCGAAUGACUCCUUCAAACAUGGCUGUUAUCUUUGGACCCACACUACUGAGAGCCAAGGAGGAGACGGUGGCGGCCAUGUUGGAUAUUAAGUUCCAAAAUAUUGUCGUUGAGAUUCUGAUUGAGGACUUCAAAAAGAUCUUCAGUUAUAUGCCAGAGGACAGCACUUGCCCGCCAGUCCCUCCUCCGCGGAUCACCCCGAGAAAGCGGCAACCAAUAACCAUCUCCAAGCGUCCACCUCGUGUUUACCAAGCUCUUAGUCACGACCUCUACCAGCACACACAGAAUGGCCAGAACGCCAGCUCCGUCACUGACAGGGAAGUCUCGGCUAACCCUGUUCCUCUGCAGAGGACAAAACCUGUGAACCUUGCUCCACUCGUUCCAAGAGAACCGCCUCCGAGACUGGCAUUGAUGCCCAGACCAGCGAGCCGUCAGGAAAGACACUUUGACUCCGACGCCGGCAAGUUCGACGACACGAGGCAAAGGCCGGAUUGUGCUUCAGCGGCGAACGGGGAGUCUGGAGUCAAUGUGAGCAGAGUACAAUCCUUCCAGAGCAGGAGACAACCUCCCAAAGGAGAUUCUGAUGGUGUGACCAGAACAAGGUCCACAGAGAAACAUGUCAUUUGUAGACCCCCUGUCCGGCCUCCUGAGCCCCCCUCCAGACUGCCCGCUCAACAAAAGACCCCGAGUGCAGCCAGCAGCGAGGCCUCGGUCACCUCCUACGUUGCCUCUAAAACUAAGUUUUUUGAGAAUGCCUCCAAGCACGUUGGCAGGACAGGGGAAAGUCCAUGGAUGUAUAAAGAGAAAGCAGUAUCAUGAAGGGAAAUCUCUGUCUGGUCCCCCGGCUUCUCCGCCAUCAUAAACGGUGACGAAUGUGAAAAAAGAGAAUUAAAGUUAGGGAGACUCGGAGAACAUCAUGUGACCUCGACACGUGCUGGAGGGAGUCGGUGUCGCUCAUCCCAGCAGACAGACUGAAGAAGUCGCUUAUAUCGUCAUGGAGGGAUCCGAUUCCCUUGUAUUUUUAACGGGAAGAAGGAUGUUGUGAGUCAACACAUUAGCAAAUGGACUUUUGCCGGUACUAUUUUCCCCUUGUUUCAUGCCAGUUGACAAUUUAGUUUGACAAACUAAAAUUACAAUAUUUUGUCAUUUUACAAUGUUAAGAAGUUUGAAUAGCCAAUUUUAUUGCCGGCAACAAACUGCCAUAACUGGUUAUAACAGUUUACUCUGACGUUGUGUCUACACUCUUAACCCUUGUGUUGCCUUAGGGUCAUUUUGACCCGACUCAAUAUUACACCCUCCCCCCACCUUAGGAUUAAUUUGACCCCAUUCAAUGUUUAAUGUCGGUGUUCUUUCGGUAUUCAACAAACAAACAUAAAGUGCCUCACACUUAAACUUGGAAAACAAUAUUAAUUCUAAUAAUUUUCUGGAGGUUUUAAUUGCUGGCGUCAAAUUGAACCCAAAGGGUAAAAUAUGUUAGUAAAUAUAAAGGUAACAGGAGGGUGAAACAUUAAAUCGGGUCAAAAUGACCCAAAGGCGGGGGGAGGGUGUAAUAUUGAUUCGGUUCAAAAUGACCCUAAGGCAACACAAGGGUUAACACUCUGCAUUGUAAAAUAGAUCCCCCAAAGAAAACUAAUUGAUUAAAUAAGGUUAAUAAUUAUUCAUUUUAAAACGUGAAAUAUUAGUUCUAGAUUGUAUAAUGAACCAUGUACGGUUCCGUCAACGAGCUGGAUGAAGCAAAUUCAUCAAGCAAGUUACAUCAAUUGAAUAAUGAUUUAUGUGAAAGCUAUUGGGUUUUAAAAAUAUUUUUAAAAUAAUAUUUUGAUCAAAAUGUAAUUUGACAAAACGUGUCAUUCAGCCACGAGUCACUUUAUAAGAGGCAUUACAAAAAGGUAUUUUGCUACCCAGUGUCAGACUGUAUCGGUAUCAGUCAGCGUAGUUCGGAUGUGCAUGAUGACUAUGUUUGAUAGGGAAUUAUUAAAUUAGAUUCACGAGUGUACAGUCCCUCAUUUCUGACCUUGUUGCCGAUCACUUCUUACCUCAUGUAGGGAGGUCAGGUUGCACAGGAGAGUCCUAGAAGGUUACCUGAAUGUGUUCCACCUCAAAAAUAUAGUUGGGAUUUCCAAAAUUGGUCAACUGACUGUAACAGUCGUUUAUGUGAAGAUAACACUCCGAAGUUUUGUUUUCUAUUUCUUUGUUUUUAAAAUAGCUAUGUACAUUUUAAACUUUUGUUUGAUAACCCAACUUGAUAGCUCUGGUUGUCUUGAAAAUAAAAGUUGUUAACAUGACUUGAAAUAUGUUUGUGUUAUGAUUAAAGUCCCAUCUCCUCAGUCAGUGA